CGGCCUCAUCUACGAGGAGACCCGCGGCGUCCUCAAGAUCUUCCUUGAGAACGUCAUCCGCGACGCCGUCACCUACACCGAGCACGCCCGCCGCAAGACCGUCACCGCCAUGGAUGUCGUCUACGCGCUCAAGCGCCAGGGCCGCACCCUCUACGGCUUCGGAGGCUAGAUCCGUUGCGUAGUGGAGCAACUUCCUCGUUUGCUCUCUGUGAUCUGUGCUGUGGUGGAUGAGAUUUACUGAUUUUGUGUGCGUCGUUGUGUUCUGCCUUGGGUUCAGUAGGCUGUGUAAUACCAUGUUCUGUUCAAUGCAAUCAGUUCGGUUCUGAAUCCUGACGAAAUGCUUCACUGUUGAAUUGCGUUUUGUUUUUUCUAAUACUGAUUGGCUCUAUCUGUUUGGACACUGCAGCUGCACUGACUUAAGUACUUGACACUCAUUUCUUCCCAGAUUAGAUUGUACUGCUACUGAAUCCGGCUUUCGUUUGUUCAGUUAUUUGGCGCUAAUUGUUUCUCACUGAAAAGUUCUCUGUUUAGAUCGCUUAUCUGUACUGAAUCAACAUUCGUCUAUCUGGCACUCGUUGCAAUCUGUAGAAGAGAUGGAAUUCUUCCGCUCAGGCAAGUACAGGGUCCGGUGUUUUGGUUUGGCAUCACUGCGGAAUGAACCUCGAAUGUUUCUGUUGUUUUCAGUGGUAUGAAUACUCAAAAAUUUGGCUUCUGUUCCUGAAGGUCUUCACCAAACACAUUUCUUUGUCCUAACUGUACUGUUCCUUUGAGAAAUAAACAGUAGAGAUUAUAUCCUUUUCUUAAAAAUUUUGCUCCUCAUCAGUGCAACCAAUUCAUAGGUGUUGUUUCUCAGUUCCUUUUGAGAUAUUGUGUGGCAUUAUUGUUCAUUCUCUAGGGUAGGAAUUGUGUGACUCAGUUCCUUAAUCUUCAUUAAUCAAGCUAAAAGAAAGAAGAUCCUCACUGAUGUGAUAUCGCCAGGGCCACCUAUGAUUACUGAUCAGGACUGUUAUGACUCAAGAAUAAGCUAUCUUGAAGGUCCAAGAUACGAAGAAGCUCUUCCCGGGGAGUGGGAAUACACUCGUUUAUUUGUUCUCGAAGAACAUUGACUGCCACCACACCUUUCUCACUUCUUUUUUUUACAACGAGCCUCCUAGCCAUUAAAAAAACCAGACAAGGCCAAUUCUAGUUUACUACAUACUCCCUCCGUUUUUAAAAAUCUUGUCUUAGAUUUAUCUAGAUAUGAAUGUAUCUAGUCAUAUUUUAGUAUUUUGAUACAUCCAUUCCUAGACAAAUUUAAAACAAAUUUUUUGUGACGGAGGGAGUAUAAAAUAUGCACAUGUUAAUAACUUAAUAUUACGAAGGGCAAAAGAUAAGUAAUACUUUGGGUCUAUUAACCCCUUUUAUUUUGGGUUCAAAUUUGACCGUAAAAUUAACUUGGAAAAUACUCCCUACAUUUUUAAAUGUAAGCUUUUUAAAUAUUUAACUAGGAAACUACAUACGGAUAUAUAUAAACAUAUUUUAGAGUGUAUAUUCAUUCAUUUUGCUCCGUAUUUAGCCCCUUAGUGAAAUCUUAUACUCCCUCCGUCCCAAAAUUCUUGUCUUACAUUUGUUUAGAUGUAAUUGUAUGUAGUCAAGUUUUAGUAUUUUGAUACAUUCAUUUUUAGACAAAGCUAAGACAAGAAUAUGUCACAAAAAGUGUAUUAUGGGAAGACUCCAUUAAAUACGAAUCCAACAAUAUGUUUUUAUAUCAUAUACGUAGUUUAUAUUUAAAAAAAAAACCUGAUAGCUGAAACAAACUCCCACUAAUCAUAUUCGGCGCCACGUCAUCGAUCCAGUCCACCACCGUCCCGCCCAUCCCACCCUUCUGAUCUGAAUCCAACGUCCCAUCCCCACCCUCUCACGGAUCGACCCAGCAAAACCUCCCGCCCGAAGCCCCCCAAAAGUUCGCGCUUCCCUCCAAAAUCCUUCCCAUAUAAACCAGCCCCCACCCUGAAAUCCCCAAUCCCACCACAAGCUACAGCCCCCAAAGGAGUUCCUCUUCUUCCUAAUCACACACUCUCUCGGAGCGGAGCGGAGCGAAGCGGCGAUGUCAGGGCGCGGCAAGGGCGGCAAGGGGCUGGGCAAGGGCGGCGCCAAGCGCCACCGGAAGGUCCUCCGCGACAACAUCCAGGGCAUCACCAAGCCGGCGAUCCGGAGGCUUGCCAGGAGGGGCGGCGUCAAGCGCAUCUCCGGCCUCAUCUACGAGGAGACCCGCGGCGUCCUCAAGAUCUUCCUCGAGAACGUCAUCCGCGACGCCGUCACCUACACCGAGCACGCUCGCCGCAAGACCGUCACCGCCAUGGACGUCGUCUACGCGCUCAAGCGCCAGGGCCGCACCCUCUACGGCUUCGGAGGCUAGAUUCUUGCCGUGCUGUGCUGUUGGCAGCUGUAUGCCCUGUGUGAUAUGCGCCCUGGUGGAUGGGAUUUACUUCUCUGUCGUUCGUUUGUGCUCAGUACGCUGUAGUAACAGUAUAUGCGUUCAAUGAAACUACUCCGAUCCUGAAUUCUGAUGAAACUCUUCAGUUAUGAAUCGUGUUACCGUUUUUCCAAGACUUUCUGAUUUGAUCUGUGCAGCUAGAAUUUUACACAGUUGCAAUCUGAUCAGUCUUUUCUUUUGUCACGCAUUGCAAUCUGGAC
RNAcentral lists this long non-coding RNA (2676 nucleotides) under Hordeum vulgare. Its description in RNAcentral is "long non-coding RNA (HVUL_LNC005446)". The stretch from base 1192 to 1328 matches the Rfam family "MIR1120/MIR1122 microRNA precursor family". The record is from RNAcentral. Lineage: Eukaryota; Viridiplantae; Streptophyta; Magnoliopsida; Poales; Poaceae.